RNAcentral lists this ribosomal RNA (465 nucleotides) under uncultured bacterium. Its description in RNAcentral is "partial 16S ribosomal RNA". It matches the Rfam family "Bacterial small subunit ribosomal RNA", at positions 339 to 795 of the family's 1533-position model. The record is from RNAcentral.
CUACGGGUUGCUGCAGUGAGGGAUAUUGCGCAAUGGGGGAAACCCUGACGCAGCGACGCCGCGUGGAUGAUGAAGGCCUUAGGGUCGUAAAAUCCUGUCAGGUGGGAAGAAGUGGAUAUAGAUUAAUACUCUAUUUCUUUGGCGGUACCACCAAAGGAAGCACCGGCUAACUCCGUGCCAGCAGCCGCGGUAAUACGGAGGGUGCAAACGUUGUUCGGAAUUACUGGGCGUAAAGCGCGCGUAGGCGGUUUGUUAAGUCAGAUGUGAAAGUCCAUGGCUCAACUAGGGAAGUGCAUUUGGAACUGGCAGACUUGAGUACUGGAGGGGGUGAUGGAAUUCCCGGUGUAGAGGUGAAAUUCGUAGAUAUCGGGAGGAAUACCGGUGGCGAAGGCGAUCACCUGGCCAGAUACUGACGCUGAGGUGCGAAAGCGUGGGGAGCAAACAGGAUUAGAUACCCCAGUAGUC